RNAcentral lists this long non-coding RNA (914 nucleotides) under Salarias fasciatus (jewelled blenny). RNAcentral's name for it is "lncRNA (ENSSFAG00005000950.1)". Lineage: Eukaryota; Metazoa; Chordata; Actinopteri; Blenniiformes; Blenniidae. The record is from RNAcentral.
UGGUCUUUCGUGGAUCUGUCUGUCGUCAACAGUGAGUAUCUAUCAGCUGGUUGAACCUUCACAACAGUCGUGACCACAGAAAAAAUUCUAAUUUGUCCCAUUGUGUUGUUUUUUCUUUCAGUCGUGACUGAACAUGAAUCCGAUGACGAGGAGACACUGAAAUGCUUCGUGAAGUCUAUACAGGAAAACUGUGAACUGGAAGUGAAGUGGACGAUCAAAGAUCAAGAUAUUGAUGAAGUCAACAGUCAGAUAAAGACAGAAAAUAAUGGAUGUUCUGCCACUGUGACUCUUAAAAAGUCACAUUAUCUUCACCCACAAACACACUUCCUGAGCUGUGAAGUGACUGACAACAGAACAGGAGAAACGUUUCGUUUCAGUCCUCGACCCUCAGGUGACACGAAAUCAACAAUGAAACCAGAAAGCUUCACAAAAUCAGCUGGAACUGAAACCAGUGGAGCUUCAGCAGGUCCACAAGGCUCGUGGUGGAUGCACUCGAUUGUCGCUGUGGGUCUGAUUGUACUCCUGAUCACAGCUGUGGUGAUCAUCAUCAGAUGGAAAAGGACCAAAGGUUCCUGGUGGAGAUUAAGGAGAGACGGUGAUAUAUGCUGAUGAAGAAAGCUCUGUGAAUCUACGUCCCUUUCCCUUUAUCCUAGCAUUUUGUCAAACCAUACUUUUUUCAGUCACAGACUGAUGAAAACUAAUCAUGUUGUUUCAACACUGUUUAUCAUGUAAUACCAAUGUAUUGUGAAGUUUUCAGGUGAUUUUAUCAUCUCCAGUGUACCUGACUUUCAGCUGUAACUCCAAACUGUUUUCUUAAUGCUAAUAUUAUUAUAAAAUGUUACUUUGAUGGAAUUUCACUCUGUCCCUCUGUUCAUUUCAAGUCUGUCAAUACAGCUUGAUUUCCUAACUGUCCA